RNAcentral lists this ribosomal RNA (576 nucleotides) under Systemapora ornata. Its description in RNAcentral is "partial 16S large subunit ribosomal RNA". It matches the Rfam family "Bacterial large subunit ribosomal RNA", at positions 1835 to 2594 of the family's 2925-position model. Lineage: Eukaryota; Metazoa; Cnidaria; Hydrozoa; Anthoathecata; Stylasteridae. The record is from RNAcentral.
CCUAGAAUCAAUCUAAGGUGUAACCUGCUCAAUGGUUUUUAAAAAAUAGACAUAAACAUCUAAAAUUAAACUUAAAAGACGCAGUAAUCUGACUGUGAUAAUGUAGCACAAUCACUUGCCAUUUAAUUGAUGGAUAGUAUGAAUGGUUGAACGAAUUCUUCACUGUCUCAAAAAGAGAAGUCAUGAAAUUAAAAUAAUAGUUAAGAUGCUAUUUAAAAUUGUAAGACGAAAAGACCCUAUAGAGCUUAACUAGAUUUUCUUUAAAAGAGAUUUUUCAAAAAGAAAAAGAUAGUUUAGUUGGGGCGACUGUUUUCUAAGAAAAACGAAAACGAGCAAAUAUAAAUAAUUUAUUUAUUGUAUAAUUAAUAAAUUUAACAAUUACAAAAGUAGGCUAUAAUGACCCGUUAUAACUAAAUGAAAAGUUUAACGAUUAACAAAUAAAAGCUACCUUAGGGAUAACAGGAUAAUUUUGUUUUAGAGAUCAUAUCAAAAACGAAGUUUGUCACCUCUAUGUUGAAUUAGGAUAUCCUAAUGGUGCAGAAACUAUUAAAGGUAAGUCUGUUCGACUUUUAAAAU